Molecule: transfer RNA, 74 nt
Filed under: Binatia bacterium
Lineage: Bacteria; Candidatus Binatota; Binatia (SeqCode)
Description: tRNA-Pro
Rfam family: tRNA
About the family: Transfer RNA (tRNA) molecules are approximately 80 nucleotides in length. Their secondary structure includes four short double-helical elements and three loops (D, anti-codon, and T loops).
Source: RNAcentral
CGGGGUGUGGCGCAGACUGGUAGCGCACCUGCCUUGGGCGCAGGGGGUCGGAGGUUCGAAUCCUCUCACCCCGA